UACAGAGGUCCCAAGCGUUACUGAGAAUCACUGGGUUUAAAGGGUGCGUAGGUGGUCCGUUAAGUCAGUUGUGAAAUCCCCGGGCUCAACCCGGGAAAUGCUUCUGAUACUGGCGGACUUGAGGCCAGUAGGGGUCACUAGAACUGACGGUGGAGCGGUGAAAUGCGUAGAUAUCGUCAGGAAUGCCGGUGGUGAAGACGGGUGACUGGGCUGGUCUGACACUGAGGCACGAAAGCGUGGGGAGCAAACAGG
RNAcentral lists this ribosomal RNA (252 nucleotides) under uncultured bacterium. Its description in RNAcentral is "partial 16S ribosomal RNA". It matches the Rfam family "Bacterial small subunit ribosomal RNA", at positions 524 to 776 of the family's 1533-position model. The record is from RNAcentral.